AGUAGUCCAGUGGGAUGACAUCUGGAGGGGCUAUGCUUUAGAUUAUUUAUAGAUGUGGGCAAUAAGAGCUACAUUUAUGUUGUCAGUGCUGUUUGCCCUCGUUUAAUUUCUCAAAUGACCUAAUUAUAUGUGUUCUCAAUAUGUCUUGGGAGGAAAAUAAUUGCUGAUACUGUCAAAGGCAAAAUGCUGAAUAUGUUUCAGUGCUUCUCACAUUCCAUGGCCUGAUUAUGGGCAUCAUUAAAUUACACGUUACCAUUCUUCCGGAACAUCGCAUUGAACAUGUCCUAAUGUUUCACAAUGAGAAGUGAAGCACUUCCUCUUACUUAAAAAGAAAAAUAUUUGAUUUUUACAGGAUGCCUGACACUAAUGCUUACUAUUCUGCUAUCUAUGAUGUCUUCACUUAUGGAUAUAUUUAUUAACAAGUACUUAUUAGCUAUUUAACAUUUCCUCUACUGAGUGUUAUUAAUUACAGAUGCUGUAUUAGUUUCCUAAGGCUGCUGUAACAAAUUACCACAAACGUGGUGACUUAAAACAACAGAAAUUUAUUCUCUCACGGUUCUGGAGGCCAGAAGUUCAAAAUACAGCUGGGACCAAAGGCAUCUCUAAGGAAGGAUACAGUCCUUGCCUCUUCCAGGGUUCUGUGCCUCCUGUUGGAAUGAGCUCACUAACCAGUGGAAACAAACUGUUUAUCCUUCUAUGAUGUUGCAACUGCCUGGGCUUUCUAAUGCGUCUUCAGAUUUCGCACAAUCCAUGACAGCAAGAAGACAAAGGCUUUGUUACAACAGAACAGAGCGGAGACAUCCGUGGCCGUCAGCUUCUUUAAAGCCAGUAAAUAAAGGAAAGAAAAGAGAAGUUAAUAUCCAGGUACUGAUGGUGACACCUCUUGUCUUAUCUGACUCAUCGCAGCCAUUUUCAGGUCUGGCUCUCUUACCCAGGCUGGAAUGCGGUAGCAUGAUCUUGGCUCACUGCAACCUCCGCCUCCCAGACUCGAGCCAUCCUCACACCUCAGCCUCCUGAGUAGCUGGGACUACAGGCACGCACCACCAUGCCAGGCUAGUUUUUGAAAUUUUUUUGUAGAGACAGACAGGAUUUCACUCUGUUGCCUAGGCUGGUCUCAAACUCUUAAGCUCAGGUGAUCUGCUCACCUUGGCCUCCCAAAGUGCUGAGAUUACAGGCAAGAGCCACUGCACCUGGCUCUGAGGGGCCAUUUUAAUAAAAAUGUUCAAGCUAGCAAUACAUACAGGCAAUAAUGGAAGUGAUACAAUGACUGUACCUAUACGACUAUGGACUGAAGACAGACUUACCACUGGGAGAAUUUUAAUUUUUUUCCCACUCGAUUGUUCAUGAACAUUCAAGUAUUUAUGGGGUAACUGUCAUGCUCCAGGCAUUGUAUUUUCAUGAGUAGUAUAUGUUUAUAAUGAAAUCUAUUUACAGGACUCUAGUACUAGUUUCUUUUCCAGUUUUAACUGAAAUUAGUGUGCCUCAAAGUAUUGCAAAUCAAAGUAAAUUCUAGCCAAUGUUUGCCUCACAUGAAUAACCCCAAAAAAGGACCACGUGGAGAGGAGGAGUGACAAAGAAUUAGGCACAGGGAGUAUAGCCUUAAAGAUUAAGUUUCAUAGUAAAUGUGACUUUCAACUGGAUGAGAAUGUUGGGAGUUGCAGGUCACCGGUUCCAGGAAGGUUAAAGACAUGUGUUGCACACACAGAAACUUGUAUUGAAAUUUGUUUACUUUCAUGUAAGGAGGCUUCCAAAAAGGAAGGAUUUUUGUAAAAUGAAAGUAAGAUUUCCCAAAGAUAAAUUUUAACUUUAAAGCCUUCUGUAAUGUAAACAGAAAUUACACACGCUCACAUACACAGGAAAGUGAACAGUCUCUUUGAAGCCCCACAGCCAAUGGGAUAUUCUGAAUUAGCACCAUACAUAGAACCAGAGGAAGUUUUCAUAGAGCAUCCUGGGCACAAAGUUCAUUUUCUGUACUUAUAAGGCGAUCUGCUCCGUGAGAAAGCUGCCGUGUAGAGCUGGAGUUGAGAGUCGUGGGUUUAUCCCAUCAUUUACAACUACUGAUUGCCUUUUAAAAUAUGAACACAUUUAUUAAGAACCACAACAAAACCCAUUCCUGAUUAAAGGAUAUCUUUUUCUUAUCACUGGCCCUAGCCAGUGAUUGUUCUUCAACCAAGAGCUGGGAGGAGUGCUCCUAAGCAAAGAUUUUGGAUGCAGGAAAGGAACACUCCAAUCCCACAGGGAAGACCAACAGAUGUGUAUUCCAGACAGACAGAGCCUCACUGGCAGAGCAGCUGGGAAGACGCUGCUGACUGACAGGUGGAGACUGUUCUCACCUGGCUCAACCUGUCUUCCAGGUGUUCAUUCCCUCGUUCUUCCCCUUUCUUUCCCCUUCUCUCACUGCCGACCUUCUCCCCUUUGUUACUGUUGUUGUAGAAAUUAAAAAUGCUCUCCAUCUAAAUGCCAGGUCACUUGUGUAAAAUCCCAUACUAUUUAAGCAUUAAACUCUAAGAAACAUGAAAACUGAAAAAAAAAUAUGGAUUUUUAUGGAGAAGCGAAUAACAGUGGGUUUCUCUUUGGGAUGAUGAGAUCAGACUUUCUGGGCAAGUGGCAUUGACAGGUGGUAUAGCUUGAAAUGAAGCAUAGAAGUUGGAGGACACUAAUAAUUUAGUUAUGCUUAUUAUUAAAACAGCAGCCACUAGUUGUUGAACCCUGUCUAUAUGUUAAAUAGCAUCUUAAGCAUAUUUUAUAGUAAGCAUAUUUUAUAGGUGCCUGACAUAGGCAAAUAUGUCUUUGGCUCCAGUUUGAUGCUAUCUAAGAUUUUUCCCCUAAGAAAACGUCCUUGUUAAUAAUAUGGUAUAUAUUUUUUUCUUCCUAAAUUUCAAAUUCACUUGAG
This 2893-nucleotide long non-coding RNA is filed under the name Homo sapiens (human). Its description in RNAcentral is "HSALNT0211599". Lineage: Eukaryota; Metazoa; Chordata; Mammalia; Primates; Hominidae. The record is from RNAcentral.